CCUACGGGAGGCAGCAGUCGAGAAUCAUUCACAAUGGGGGAAACCCUGAUGGUGCGACGCCGCGUGGGGGAAUGAAGGUCUUCGGAUUGUAAACCCCUUUCAUGUGGGAGCAAAUUAAAAAGAUAGUACCACAAGAGGAAGAGACGGCUAACUCUGUGCCAGCAGCCGCGGUAAUACAGAGGUCUCAAGCGUUGUUCGGAAUCACUGGGCGUAAAGCGUGCGUAGGCUGUUUCGUAAGUCGUGUGUGAAAGGCGCGGGCUCAACCCGCGGACGGCACAUGAUACUGCGAGACUAGAGUAGUGGAGGGGGAACCGGAAUUCUCGGUGUAGCAGUGAAAUGCGUAGAUAUCGAGAGGAAGACUCGUGGCGAAGGCGGGUUCCUGGACAUUAACUGACGCUGAGGCACGAAGGCCAGGGGAGCGAAAGGGAUUAGAUACCCUAGUAGUC
RNAcentral lists this ribosomal RNA (446 nucleotides) under uncultured bacterium. RNAcentral's name for it is "partial 16S ribosomal RNA". It matches the Rfam family "Bacterial small subunit ribosomal RNA", at positions 338 to 795 of the family's 1533-position model. The record is from RNAcentral.